GCAAAGACUGAGAAGAAGAGGAGUACGUUGUGCGUGCCGCAAGAGAGAAGCUUCAUUUGCUGAGAGAAGCUUUCGGAGAACAGCAGCGGAAGGUAGCUUCGGAGUCGGAGUGCCGAAGAGCGUAGGAGGUUCCUUCAGGAAUUCUGUUACGGCUUGCGUAAGCGUUCCCGGUUCAUCCCCGUUAAAAGAUUUUGAGGUGUAUGAGAGAUCGCUUCUGCGGAAGUCGCAGAGAGCUUUCAUAUAUGAAGCAAGGUGGUACCGCGACGAUGAUCGCCCUUUGC
RNAcentral lists this non-coding RNA (281 nucleotides) under [Eubacterium] cellulosolvens. RNAcentral describes it as "Eubacterium cellulosolvens T-box sequence". It matches the Rfam family "T-box leader". From Rfam's summary of the family: Uncharged tRNA acts as the effector for transcription antitermination of genes in the T-box leader family. The record is from RNAcentral. Lineage: Bacteria; Bacillati; Bacillota; Clostridia; Eubacteriales; Eubacteriaceae.